Molecule: ribosomal RNA, 465 nt
Filed under: Vreelandella stevensii
Lineage: Bacteria; Pseudomonadati; Pseudomonadota; Gammaproteobacteria; Oceanospirillales; Halomonadaceae
Description: partial 16S ribosomal RNA
Rfam family: Bacterial small subunit ribosomal RNA
Source: RNAcentral
CCUACGGGGGGCUGCAGUGGGGAAUAUUGGACAAUGGGCGAAAGCCUGAUCCAGCCAUGCCGCGUGUGUGAAGAAGGCCUUCGGGUUGUAAAGCACUUUCAGUGGGGAAGAAAGCCUUGGGGUUAAUACCCUCGAGGAAGGACAUCACCCACAGAAGAAGCACCGGCUAACUCCGUGCCAGCAGCCGCGGUAAUACGGAGGGUGCGAGCGUUAAUCGGAAUUACUGGGCGUAAAGCGCGCGUAGGCGGUCUGAUAAGCCGGUUGUGAAAGCCCCGGGCUCAACCUGGGAACGGCAUCCGGAACUGUCAGGCUAGAGUGCAGGAGAGGAAGGUAGAAUUCCCGGUGUAGCGGUGAAAUGCGUAGAGAUCGGGAGGAAUACCAGUGGCGAAGGCGGCCUUCUGGACUGACACUGACGCUGAGGUGCGAAAGCGUGGGUAGCAAACAGGAUUAGAUACCCGUGUAGUC